UUUAKUUUUUUUUUCUGCUCAGRGCGAACGCUGGCGGCAGGCUUAACACAURCAAGUCGAGCGGGCAUAGCAAUAUGUCAGCGGCAGACGGGUGAGUAACGCGUGGGAACGUACCUUUUGGUUCGGAACAACUGAGGGAAACUUCAGMUAAUMCCGGAUAAGCCCUUACGGRGAAAGAUUUAUCGCCGAAAGAUCGGCCCGCGUCUGAUUAGCUAGUUGGUGAGGUAAUGGCUCMCCAAGGCGACGAUCAGUAGCUGGUCUGAGAGGAUGAUCASCCACAUUGGGACUGAGACACGGCCCAAACUCCUACGGGAGGCAGCAGUGGGGAAUAUUGGACAAUGGGCGCAAGCCUGAUCCAGCCAUGCCGCGUGAGUGAUGAAGGCCCUAGGGUUGUAAAGCUCUUUUGUGCGGGAAGAUAAUGACGGACCGCAA
RNAcentral lists this ribosomal RNA (432 nucleotides) under uncultured Bradyrhizobium sp. Its description in RNAcentral is "bacterial SSU rRNA". It matches the Rfam family "Bacterial small subunit ribosomal RNA", at positions 1 to 464 of the family's 1533-position model. Lineage: Bacteria; Pseudomonadati; Pseudomonadota; Alphaproteobacteria; Hyphomicrobiales; Nitrobacteraceae. The record is from RNAcentral.